UGGGGAAUAUUGCACAAUGGGCGCAAGCCUGAUGCAGCCAUGCCGCGUGUGUGAAGAAGGCCUUCGGGUUGUAAAGCACUUUCAGCGGGGAGGAAGGCGGUGAGGGUAAUAACCUCACCGAUUGACGUUACCCGCAGAAGAAGCACCGGCUAACUCCGUGCCAGCAGCCGCGGUAAUACGGAGGGUGCAAGCGUUAAUCGGAAUUACUGGGCGUAAAGCGCACGCAGGCGGUCUGUCAAGUCGGAUGUGAAAUCCCCGGGCUCAACCUGGGAACUGCAUUCGAAACUGGCAGGCUAGAGUCUUGUAGAGGGGGGUAGAAUUCCAGGUGUAGCGGUGAAAUGCGUAGAGAUCUGGAGGAAUACCGGUGGCGAAGGCGGCCCCCUGGACGAAGACUGACGCUCAGGUGCGAAAGCGUGGGGAGCAAACAGG
RNAcentral lists this ribosomal RNA (429 nucleotides) under Chloroflexota bacterium. Its description in RNAcentral is "Chloroflexi bacterium partial 16S ribosomal RNA". It matches the Rfam family "Bacterial small subunit ribosomal RNA", at positions 355 to 776 of the family's 1533-position model. The record is from RNAcentral. Lineage: Bacteria; Bacillati; Chloroflexota.